UACGGAGGGUGCAAGCGUUAUCCGGAUUUACUGGGUUUAAAGGGUGCGUAGGUGGGUCUGUAAGUCAGUGGCGAAAUCUCCGAGCUUAACUCGGAAACUGCCAUUGAUACUAUAGGUCUUGAAUUAUCUGGAGGUGAGCGGAAUAUGUCAUGUAGCGGUGAAAUGCUUAGAUAUGACAUAGAACACCAAUUGCGAAGGCAGCUCACUACGGAUAUAUUGACACUGAGGCACGAAAGCGUGGGGAUCAAACAGG
This 253-nucleotide ribosomal RNA is filed under the name uncultured bacterium. RNAcentral describes it as "partial 16S ribosomal RNA". It matches the Rfam family "Bacterial small subunit ribosomal RNA", at positions 524 to 776 of the family's 1533-position model. The record is from RNAcentral.